RNAcentral lists this ribosomal RNA (57 nucleotides) under Lasiodiplodia theobromae. Its description in RNAcentral is "partial 28S ribosomal RNA". It matches the Rfam family "Eukaryotic large subunit ribosomal RNA", at positions 1 to 56 of the family's 3401-position model. Lineage: Eukaryota; Fungi; Ascomycota; Dothideomycetes; Botryosphaeriales; Botryosphaeriaceae. The record is from RNAcentral.
UUGACCUCGGAUCAGGUAGGGAUACCCGCUGAACUUAAGCAUAUCAUUAAGCGGAGG